AUUACGAAAAGGAGUUCUCGAACUCUUAAACCCUUUGUGAACCUUACCUAUCGUCAGUUGCUUCGGCGGGAGGCCCCUGGGAGGGGCCCCGGGGCCCGGCCUGAGCCGGGCUCCCGCCGGAGGAGCGCAAACCAAACUCUUGCUGUACCUCAGUGGAACAUCCGAGUUAAAAACAAAAAACAAGUUAAAACUUUCAACAACGGAUCUCUUGGUUCUGGCAUCGAUGAAGAACGCAGCGAAAUGCGAUAAGUAAUGUGAAUUGCAGAAUUCAGUGAAUCAUCGAAUCUUUGAACGCACAUUGCGCCCGCCAGUAUUCUGGCGGGCAUGCCUGUUCGAGCGUCAUUUCAACCACUCAGGCCCUGGUGCCUGGCGUCGGGGUUUCUUGCUUAGGUAAAAUCCCCUAGAGUCAGUGGCGGACCCGCCGCGGCUCCGAGCGUAGUAGUAAAAUAUCUCGCUAUGGAGGUCCGUGGGGGGCUUACCGGCCGUAAAAGCUUUCUCUCACGAGAAAAUUCUCAAGGUUGACCUCGGAUCAGGUAGGAAUACCCGCUGAACUUAAGCAUAUCAAUAAGCGGAGGAAAAGAAACCAACAGGGAUUGCCCCAGUAACGGCGAGUGAAGCGGCAACAGCUCAGAUUUGAAAUCUGGUCCCCAGGGCCCGAGUUGUAAUCUGUAGAGGAUGUUUCUGGCAAGGCGCCGUCCGAGUUCCCUGGAACGGGACGCCG
RNAcentral lists this ribosomal RNA (721 nucleotides) under fungal endophyte. Its description in RNAcentral is "eukaryotic LSU rRNA". The stretch from base 189 to 342 matches the Rfam family "5.8S ribosomal RNA". The record is from RNAcentral. Lineage: Eukaryota; Fungi.